UGUGGUAGAUGAUCCAAAUUAAACCAAGGACUGUAUAACGUCUGCUCAAAAAAAAUGAGUUAGGUGAUAGCAAAUGAGGUCAUCCAAUUAUCUACCAGAUAUUGUAUUUGGUGACAAGCGUUGUUAGAUAGAACGGUUGGCGAGCAUGGAUGGUGGCUUCAUGUUUUCAGAUGAUUUUUUCUUUUUAUUCAACAAUUUCAUGGUGUCACAAUCACAUGGAUCAGCUACUUGUCUGCUAGAUACCGUCGCACCGUGUUGCUUGGUCAACAAUGCCCCUAUACAUAACCCCUUCGUAAAUGUUAUUUCCUAUGGAUUAGACUCGGGUGCAAAAAAAG
This 335-nucleotide long non-coding RNA is filed under the name Elaeis guineensis (African oil palm). RNAcentral's name for it is "long non-coding RNA (EGUI_LNC043810)". The record is from RNAcentral. Lineage: Eukaryota; Viridiplantae; Streptophyta; Magnoliopsida; Arecales; Arecaceae.